RNAcentral lists this ribosomal RNA (1337 nucleotides) under Salmonella enterica subsp. enterica serovar Paratyphi A. Its description in RNAcentral is "partial 23S ribosomal RNA". It matches the Rfam family "Bacterial large subunit ribosomal RNA", at positions 1487 to 2802 of the family's 2925-position model. Lineage: Bacteria; Pseudomonadati; Pseudomonadota; Gammaproteobacteria; Enterobacterales; Enterobacteriaceae. RNAcentral also lists the same sequence under 1 other name. The record is from RNAcentral.
UUGGCCGGGCGACGGUUGUCCCGGUUUAAGCGUGUAGGUGUGUGUUCCAGGUAAAUCCGGUUCACUUUAACACUGAGGCGUGACGACGAGGCACUACGGUGCUGAAGCAACAAAUGCCCUGCUUCCAGGAAAAGCCUCUAAGCAUCAGGUAACAUCAAAUCGUACCCCAAACCGACACAGGUGGUCAGGUAGAGAAUACCAAGGCGCUUGAGAGAACUCGGGUGAAGGAACUAGGCAAAAUGGUGCCGUAACUUCGGGAGAAGGCACGCUGACACGUAGGUGAAGUGAUUUACUCAUGGAGCUGAAGUCAGUCGAAGAUACCAGCUGGCUGCAACUGUUUAUUAAAAACACAGCACUGUGCAAACACGAAAGUGGACGUAUACGGUGUGACGCCUGCCCGGUGCCGGAAGGUUAAUUGAUGGGGUCAGCGCAAGCGAAGCUCCUGAACGAAGCCCCGGUAAACGGCGGCCGUAACUAUAACGGUCCUAAGGUAGCGAAAUUCCUUGUCGGGUAAGUUCCGACCUGCACGAAUGGCGUAAUGAUGGCCAGGCUGUCUCCACCCGAGACUCAGUGAAAUUGAACUCGCUGUGAAGAUGCAGUGUACCCGCGGCAAGACGGAAAGACCCCGUGAACCUUUACUAUAGCUUGACACUGAACAUUGAGCCUUGAUGUGUAGGAUAGGUGGGAGGCUUUGAAGUGUGGACGCCAGUCUGCAUGGAGCCGACCUUGAAAUACCACCCUUUAAUGUUUGAUGUUCUAACGUGGACCCGUUACCCGGGUUGCGGACAGUGUCUGGUGGGUAGUUUGACUGGGGCGGUCUCCUCCUAAAGAGUAACGGAGGAGCACGAAGGUUGGCUAAUCCUGGUCGGACAUCAGGAGGUUAGUGCAAUGGCAUAAGCCAGCUUGACUGCGAGCGUGACGGCGCGAGCAGGUGCGAAAGCAGGUCAUAGUGAUCCGGUGGUUCUGAAUGGAAGGGCCAUCGCUCAACGGAUAAAAGGUACUCCGGGGAUAACAGGCUGAUACCGCCCAAGAGUUCAUAUCGACGGCGGUGUUUGGCACCUCGAUGUCGGCUCAUCACAUCCUGGGGCUGAAGUAGGUCCCAAGGGUAUGGCUGUUCGCCAUUUAAAGUGGUACGCGAGCUGGGUUUAGAACGUCGUGAGACAGUUCGGUCCCUAUCUGCCGUGGGCGCUGGAGAACUGAGGGGGGCUGCUCCUAGUACGAGAGGACCGGAGUGGACGCAUCACUGGUGUUCGGGUUGUCAUGCCAAUGGCACUGCCCGGUAGCUAAAUGCGGAAGAGAUAAGUGCUGAAAGCAUCUAAGCACGAAACUUGCCCCGA